Long non-coding RNA from Callorhinus ursinus (northern fur seal), 214 nucleotides. RefSeq lists it as uncharacterized. The record is from RefSeq and is a predicted model, not a curated record. Lineage: Eukaryota; Metazoa; Chordata; Mammalia; Carnivora; Otariidae.
UGAUGAAGAAGGUGGGGCUGCCCUGGCUGCUUUGGAGAACCACCCAGAUUCCAGAUUCCCACUGCUCCCACCGAAGGCCUGCUUGAAGAGCUUCCCAGCUGGAGCGUAGAAGAAGAAGCCCCAACCCUCUCCAAGGUGGAUGCAGAAGGGAACAAAAAGCCCCCCCCCUUUUUUUUAUCAACAUCUACUUUUACAGGACUACUGUGACCAAUGA